GUGAUAGAGAGGCAUACCUAUAAGUGGUAGUGUCAAGGGAGUAGUUGGCCAUUACAAGAAAAUACCAAUUACCCAAAAUAAUGGUGGAAACAAAGUCAACCACGAACCACCCACCAAAAACACAUCACUCUUGGAGAUCUAAGCAAUAAGCACUGCUAAAACUCAAGAUUCUUGAUUUCAAAUCAAACCCAAUCGACCACAAGAAACAUUAUAGAACAAGCGACCACAGUAGAUAUACAGCUAUGAUUUCA
This 251-nucleotide unclassified non-coding RNA is filed under the name Hevea brasiliensis (rubber tree). Lineage: Eukaryota; Viridiplantae; Streptophyta; Magnoliopsida; Malpighiales; Euphorbiaceae. The record is from RNAcentral.